Molecule: ribosomal RNA, 53 nt
Filed under: uncultured eukaryote
Lineage: Eukaryota
Description: partial small subunit ribosomal RNA
Source: RNAcentral
UCUGACUGGACUAAGUCGUAACAAGUAUCCGUAGGUGAACUGCAGAAGGAUCA